This 1203-nucleotide ribosomal RNA is filed under the name Triticum aestivum (bread wheat). RNAcentral describes it as "partial small subunit ribosomal RNA". The record is from RNAcentral. Lineage: Eukaryota; Viridiplantae; Streptophyta; Magnoliopsida; Poales; Poaceae.
AUGGACCGCUUUGCAAAGCUUAACAUCUGUGAAAGUCAGCGGCGCCAUUUACGGAAAUUUCUUAUUGGCAUUCGCAAUUGCAAGUUUCCAGAAUUGCUCACAUCUGAGCCAGUUAUGCAAAGUGAAAAUAAUUAUGGUAACAGUUCUAAUGUUAAUGAUAUGGUCGCGAUCUCUAGUACUCCCCAAAUCACCAGUGUUACCGCUCCUGCUACUGCCAUAUCAUGUGACGACACCUUGCUCACGAAGGUCAGCCGUAAACAUAUGGUGAAGUUUCUUGAGAUUAUGGAAACCACAAAGGAAUUCGAAACUGUCAACGAUGUGCCGCCAUUGGAUAUCAUCCUCUACAGAGAGCUUAUGGAACCAGCAUGGGGUUGGCAAAGGCUAUUGCCCUGGAAGUCUGGUUAUGUUCUUUUUGAAGCCUAUUUGAAAUACCUUGAUGAGUACUACUACCGGAAUAUAACUCGUGAUUUCAACCUUUAUGCUGCAGCCUGUAUUUGUCUGGAGACGGAGAAGAAGUUGAGUACUGCAGUAGGUCUCACUCCUAAGCUUGCUGAACUGAGCAAGAGUAUCAAGGAGAAAGCGGACAGUGUGACCAAAUCAGAUUCUGAAUCUCCUGUUGCAGCUGCUGGCUUUAUGUGUAUUGCGGAAGAAGCCAUGUUGAUGUCUGAGUUAUUGGAAUGUGAAACCAAGAACCGUGAGGAUGAGGAUGAUUUCAUUACCGAGGUGCUGGAGGAUAAGUUGUUUGACUUUAGCAAUGCUGUCCGUGAGAUUGUGUUUGAUAUUUUGAUCACCUACAAAGGGCCUUUUUCUGAAGCUGUUGCUGCUUUCAUGUUGGGCUUGAAAAAGGAGGCCACUCUUGUACGUGAGUUAUUGGAGCUGAAUCGAAACUGCAUGGACCGCUUUGCAAAGCUUCACAUCUGUGAGAGUCUAAGGCCAUGCUUACGAAAAUUUCUUUACGGCAUUCGCAACAGCAAGUUUCCAGAAUUGCGGACGUCUGAAUCAGAUCAGGCAAGUGCUGUGAAUGACCGCGAAGCUGACCAUGAAAACAAGAGUAUGGAAGGCAAGAGCAAUGGAGAUCUCGAUUGUACAACCUUUAGGCAUCUGCUCCCUCCGCCUCACAAUGCAGUGCAGUGCCCAGUUCUCACGCAUCUCAAUCAGAGUUCGAUGUAUACAAAGGAAAGUCAACAGAUUGCUGGCCUCUGA